This 394-nucleotide ribosomal RNA is filed under the name uncultured Gammaproteobacteria bacterium. RNAcentral describes it as "bacterial SSU rRNA". It matches the Rfam family "Bacterial small subunit ribosomal RNA", at positions 370 to 779 of the family's 1533-position model. Lineage: Bacteria; Pseudomonadati; Pseudomonadota; Gammaproteobacteria. The record is from RNAcentral.
AAUGGGCGAAAGCCUGACGGAGCAACGCCGCGUGAGGGAUGAAGGCCUCUAGGCUGUAAACCUCUUUUAUCAAGGAAGAAGAUCUGACGGUACUUGAUGAAUAAGCCACGGCUAAUUCCGUGCCAGCAGCCGCGGUAAUACGGGAGUGGCAAGCGUUAUCCGGAAUUAUUGGGCGUAAAGCGUCCGCAGGCGGCCCAACAAGUCUGCUGUUAAAAAGUGGAGCUUAACUCCAUCAUGGCAGUGGAAACUGUUGGGCUCGAGUGUGGUAGGGGCAGAGGGAAUUCCCGGUGUAGCGGUGAAAUGCGUAGAUAUCGGGAAGAACACCAGUGGCGAAGGCGCUCUGCUGGGCCAUCACUGACGCUCAUGGACGAAAGCCAGGGGAGCGAAAGGGAUU